AAUCAACGCUGGCGGCGUGCCUCAGACAUGCAAGUCGAACGAUUAAAGCUCUCUUCGGAGAGUGCAUAGAGUGGCGCACGGGUGAGUAACACGUAAGUAAUCUACCUUCGAGUGGGGAAUAACGUCCGGAAACGGGCGCUAAUACCGCAUAAUGCAGCGGCAUCGCAAGAUGACAGUUGUUAAAGGAGCAAUCCGCUUGAAGAGGAGCUUGCGGCAGAUUAGCUAGUUGGUAGGGUAAUGGCCUACCAAGGCUACGAUCUGUAACCGGUCUUAGAGGACGGUCGGUCACACUGACACUGAAUAACGGGUCAGACUCCUACGGGAGGCAGCAGUCGGGAAUUUUGGGCAAUGGGGGAAACCCUGACCCAGCAACGCCGCAUGAAGGAUGAAGUAUUUCGGUAUGUAAACUUCGAAAGAAUAGGAAGAAUUAAUGACGGUACUAUUUAUAAGGUCCGGCUAACUACGUAGCCAGCAGCCGCGGUAAAG
RNAcentral lists this ribosomal RNA (486 nucleotides) under uncultured bacterium. RNAcentral describes it as "bacterial SSU rRNA". It matches the Rfam family "Bacterial small subunit ribosomal RNA", at positions 32 to 525 of the family's 1533-position model. The record is from RNAcentral.